GUCUAUUAGAAAUUGUUUAUAGUCUAGCCUGCUCACUGACAUAAAGUGUUAAAUAGCCGCGGUAUCUUGACCGUGCAAAGGUAGCAUAAUCAUUAGUUUUUUAAUUGGGAACUCGUAUGAAUGGUUGGACAAAGAAAAAUCUGUCUCUUGCAAUGAAAUUGAAUUUAACUUCUAAGUGAAAAGGCUUAGAUUACCCAGAGGGACGAUAAGACCCUAUAAAGCUUUAUAAAUUUAUUAAUUUCGUUUAUUUUUUAUUAUAAUAAUGAUGAUAAGAAAAUUUAUUUGGUUGGGGCAACCGAAGUAUAAUUUUAAAUAACUGCUAUAAUUUAAUACAAUGAUUUUUGUUUUAUAUAAUAAUUGAUCCUCUAAGAGAUUAAAGACCAAGUUACUUUAGGGAUAACAGCGUAAUUUAUCCUGAGAGUUCUUAUCAAAGGAAAAGUUUGCGACCUCGAUGUUGAAUUAAAAUGUCUACCUAGUGCAGCAGCUGGGAAAGAAGGUCUGUUCGACCUUUAAUUUUUUACAUGAUUUGAGUUCAGACCGGCGUGAG
RNAcentral lists this ribosomal RNA (547 nucleotides) under Callinectes toxotes. RNAcentral's name for it is "partial 16S ribosomal RNA". It matches the Rfam family "Bacterial large subunit ribosomal RNA", at positions 1829 to 2625 of the family's 2925-position model. The record is from RNAcentral. Lineage: Eukaryota; Metazoa; Arthropoda; Malacostraca; Decapoda; Portunidae.